RNAcentral lists this ribosomal RNA (638 nucleotides) under Lactiplantibacillus plantarum. Its description in RNAcentral is "bacterial SSU rRNA". It matches the Rfam family "Bacterial small subunit ribosomal RNA", at positions 71 to 684 of the family's 1533-position model. The record is from RNAcentral. Lineage: Bacteria; Bacillati; Bacillota; Bacilli; Lactobacillales; Lactobacillaceae.
GAUUGGUGCUUGCAUCAUGAUUUACAUUUGAGUGAGUGGCGAACUGGUGAGUAACACGUGGGAAACCUGCCCAGAAGCGGGGGAUAACACCUGGAAACAGAUGCUAAUACCGCAUAACAACUUGGACCGCAUGGUCCGAGCUUGAAAGAUGGCUUCGGCUAUCACUUUUGGAUGGUCCCGCGGCGUAUUAGCUAGAUGGUGGGGUAACGGCUCACCAUGGCAAUGAUACGUAGCCGACCUGAGAGGGUAAUCGGCCACAUUGGGACUGAGACACGGCCCAAACUCCUACGGGAGGCAGCAGUAGGGAAUCUUCCACAAUGGACGAAAGUCUGAUGGAGCAACGCCGCGUGAGUGAAGAAGGGUUUCGGCUCGUAAAACUCUGUUGUUAAAGAAGAACAUAUCUGAGAGUAACUGUUCAGGUAUUGACGGUAUUUAACCAGAAAGCCACGGCUAACUACGUGCCAGCAGCCGCGGUAAUACGUAGGUGGCAAGCGUUGUCCGGAUUUAUUGGGCGUAAAGCGAGCGCAGGCGGUUUUUUAAGUCUGAUGUGAAAGCCUUCGGCUCAACCGAAGAAGUGCAUCGGAAACUGGGAAACUUGAGUGCAGAAGAGGACAGUGGAACUCCAUGUGUAGCGGGGA